RNAcentral lists this ribosomal RNA (253 nucleotides) under uncultured bacterium. RNAcentral describes it as "partial 16S ribosomal RNA". It matches the Rfam family "Bacterial small subunit ribosomal RNA", at positions 524 to 776 of the family's 1533-position model. The record is from RNAcentral.
UACAGAGGUCCCAAGCGUUGUUCGGAUUCACUGGGCGUAAAGGGUGCGUAGGUGGUCGGGUAAGUCUGAUGUGAAAUCUCCGAGCUUAACUCGGAAAUGGCAUUGGAUACUAUUCGACUGGAGGGUUGGAGGGGGGACUGGAAUUCUCGGUGUAGCAGUGAAAUGCGUAGAUAUCGAGAGGGACACCAGUGGCGAAGGCGAGUCCCUGGACAACUCCUGACACUGAGGCACGAAAGCUAGGGGAGCAAACAGG